GGCAAAGGCUAACAAAUGCUUAUUUGAAGCAGUUCUGCAAGGUGUUUGGUAGACCAUUGGACCAUUUACUCUCAUAUUCUUUUUUCCCCUAAUAUCCCUCUUUUGGACCCAACUGUCCCCGUCUCUCUUCUUUACCUUUUUUUUGUUUCUGGUUCACCAUUUCAUGGGUCUUAUACUAGGGCCUUUUCAUCAGGUUUCGGAAGCUAAAACAUA
This is a non-coding RNA of Pelobates cultripes (western spadefoot toad), 213 nucleotides long. NCBI's taxonomy places the organism in Eukaryota, Metazoa, Chordata, Amphibia, Anura, Pelobatidae. The record is from the annotation of a GenBank genome assembly.